UACGUAGGGGGCGAGCGUUGUCCGGAUUUAUUGGGCGUAAAGAGCUCGUAGGCGGUUACGUAAGUCGGGUGUGAAAGCCCCAGGCUCAACCUGGGGAUGCCACUCGAUACUGCGUUGACUGGAGUCUGGUAGGGGAUCACGGAAUUCCUGGUGUAGCGGUGAAAUGCGCAGAUAUCAGGAGGAACACCGGUGGCGAAGGCGGUGAUCUGGGCCAGUACUGACGCUGAGGAGCGAAAGCGUGGGUAGCAAACAGG
This 254-nucleotide ribosomal RNA is filed under the name uncultured bacterium. RNAcentral's name for it is "partial 16S ribosomal RNA". It matches the Rfam family "Bacterial small subunit ribosomal RNA", at positions 524 to 776 of the family's 1533-position model. The record is from RNAcentral.